AAUCCCAAAAACUCGAGAAAACCGAAAAUCCCGAGAAAUAUGAAGGUUGAAACACUCGACUUGUGUUGGUUUGAUUUGGUUUAUAAAUUUAAAAUUCGUGACAAUUAAUUUGGUUUUGUAAUUGGAAAAUAUGAAUCAACCCAUCAUAGGUAUACCCCUAAUAACAACUAUUUCAUGGAGUAUAUGGUAAUUUAGAAAAUAUGAAGUUAUAACUUAUUAUACUGUUAAAUUGCAAUGAUAGUGUAAAACUAUAAUUUUCACACUAUCAGCGUAUAACAUCAAAUCUUUACAAGAAUUGACUAUAUUAGAUAUGGUGUUCGUACAAUAAUUUUGUUUUCGAAUUGUGUAGGAUUUUCUAUGCCUACAUAAAGAAUGGAUAUACAAUACUUGAAGCGUUACGGGUGAAGUAAUGAAACACCUACGGAGUUGUCUAAAGUACUGUUGCUUCCUUAAUUAGAGCAGCAUUUCUAUUUUGCGUGUUUUGUGUUGUAUGGUCUGGGACAAAGAUGAUGUAACUAUCCGUACCCAUACUUGGCUCAAGUAAUUCGUAGUAAUACAUUCCUCAAUCAAAAUGUACCAACUUUGGCGCAUUAAUAAUGCUUCGGCCAACAAUGAUGGUUUCUUGUUUUACUAUUGCGCAGGGAUUGCAUUUAAAGCUCACAAGUGGACAGCUAAAUACAGUCGUACCAACAACAGAGUAAUUUCACAACUUUAAAGUUAAAUAUCUUUUUUUGUGGGGGGUUUGUGACGUUGCCGUAUACUCCAAGUUGGGCCAUUUCGUUAAUAUAAGGAACCUAUAUUAGGAAAAAUCUCACUAUAUAACCGUUGUAAAAAUAAUAGUCGAAAAAAUAUUUAAAAUAUCACCAUUUAAAUUGAUGGGUCGCGACGAAUGCCUUAAUCCUACAUGUCGAACCUACUUCAGCAUGCAUUUAAGAUAUAAGUGUGAAUUGCAUACAUGAGGGAAAUCCAUCCAAAAGACAUACGUACAUAUACAUGUUGAAUGCAAUGGGGAGCCUGUCAAGGCUGCUUUAGACAACUAAAAACUAAAAACUGAAAGCCGACAAGACUACAUACUGUCCAAUUACACACAACUGUCUACAGACCUCUAAUAAAUAUAUUACUAUACCAAGACGUGACUGAGCCACUACUACAAUAAAAAUAACCUUUAAGGAAGGGAAAUCUGGCCCCGAAAAAAUCAAAAUCUGGUCCAAAUAGAGCAAUUGCGACAGGAAAAAGCCGGUCGCCACCCGUCGUAAUAGCUUCUGCUGCUAAAGCUCAAUAUGGACGAGUUCAGAAAUCUUGUUGUUAAAUAUUUUUAGAGAUGGAAGAAAAAUCUAGUCGUUAAAAACCUUUAAAGACUACAUAUCUCGUCCAGUAAACAACUAAUAUAUUGUAAAAAAUAUAUAUUUGUCCGUCGUUAAAAAGUUUUAGAGACCAGCCUUCUCCUCCCUAAUAGACGAUAACUAUAAUAUGAAAAGUAUAUAUUUUUUGGUCGUUAACCAGUUUCAUCGACUAACCUUUAACUGGUCAUAGAUUAUCUUUUAGAGUCGAGCAACACUUGUCCAUAUUUAAUAUAAUAUUAGUAACUAUAUCGACCAUAUUUCUUGUCUCUUAUUAUCCACAAGUAGUCUUAAUGUUUGAUGUCACAAAACAUUAAUUUUUAUCAAUAAAUAUCAAAUUGCUAUGUAAAAAGUUAUUAAUUACAAUGUUAACCUUCCAUUAUGGUAGUUUCAAUAUUUGCUUAACACCUUAACAAAAUAACUUAGUUAACAUUCUGAGCUAGACUAUGAUUUCAUGUUUUGCAUAACAUUCCUAACAAAAUAAUAAUGAGCUUGUGUUUCUUCCAAACUUGUAGCUUCAAUCUUCAAAAACUAUAAAUACAAAAUUUUGAAAAGAUGAUGAAGAACUAUUGGUAAUAUAAUAUAUGUAAAUUUACACUAAAAAUGACUAAACCGCUUACUCGAAAAGUAGUUUAAAUUCAUUAAGUGUUAUCCAACUACAUCAAAAAGGCUACAAGAAUAUACAAAAAAAUUAAUUAGAAAAUAUUGGAACGGUAAAUUAAACUUCAAUUCGAUAAAAAAAGAGGAGAAGGUUUAUUUUAUUAUCCAGCUACUUUAACCAGAACAUGUCAUGUGUUGCGGCAAGUGAAACAAACUGAAUAUUUUCUCCUUCUUCCUUUUUAUUCUGCUAUGUAUGUUUUUUUUUUUGCCUUUUCCAAAGUCAAAGUCUACAUUCUUCAUCGAAUUUGCUGGAAUUCACAAUUUAGGCUCUUUGAGUAACAAGUCACACGUAAAACUUGUAACGAUCCGAUCGGUCGUUUUGAGCUCUAGUUCGAUGUUUAACAGUAUAAGGCCACGACCAACUUAAAUUAAGGUAUUAUGACUUUUACGCAUGGUCAGAAUUGAAUUUUGGGGAGUUCAGAGUUGAGUUUGAAAGAGAAUUCUUAUUUUGGAAGCUUUUAGUUGAAAGAAUUACCCAAGAUUGGAUUUUUGAUUAAACGACCUCGGAAUCAGGAUUUGACAGCAGGUUCGUGUGAUAAUUUCGGACUGGGACAUAUGUCCGGAUCGGGUUUUGGAAAACAUAGGAACGUUUUGGCGCCUAUUGUUGAAGUUAGCCUUUUCGAGAAACUUCAUAAGUUUGGUUGAAGUGCAUUUCGGUGUUAUCAAUAUCUGUUUGGGAUUCUAAGUCUGGGAAUAGCUCUGAAGGGUGGUUCUAGUAUUGGGGGCGCGAUCGUAAGUGAGUUCGGAGGUCCGUGGGCCAUUUAGGUGUCAUUUGGCUAAAGAUAGAUACUAGAGAAGUUUGACCGAAAGUGGGCUUUUUGAUAUCAGUGUAGGAUUUCGAUUCCAGAAAUUAGAGUAGGUCUGCAACGUCAAAUAUGACUUGUGUGCGAAAUUUGAGGUCAACCAGACGUGAUACAAUAGCUUUCGGCAUUGAAUGCAGAAGUUUGAGAUUCUAAAGUUCGUUAAGCUUGGAUUGGAGGUCUAUUUAUGAUUAAAACAUUAUUUGAUAUGAUUUAAGGCUUCGAGCAAGUACAUAAUGUGUUUCAGGAUUGGUUGGGGUACCGAGGGACUCAGGUGGAUUCCUGGUGGUUAACGGAUUAAACUGGAACUUGGAGGAAGAGCUGAAGUUGCUGGUGUAACCGCACCUGCGAGACUAGGGUCGUAGGUGCUGAGCCGCAGAAGCGGCAAAAUGUGCACAGAUGUAGUGGUGAAUUGUGAAGGCUGGGACUGCAGAUGCGGUCGAGUCAUCGCAGAAGCGGGACCGCACCUACGGAAUAAUGGGUGCAGAAGAGGCAUUUGGUCCGCACUUGCGGGACCGUAGAAGCAAUCAAGAGAUCGCAGGUGCGAAAGGGCUGGAGGUAGUGAGCUCUUAUUAAAAAUCGAGGUUUUGGUUUAUUUCCACCAAUUUUCACUUCGGGUUGGACAAUUUUGGAGCGUUUGGAGGAGAGAUUUUCUUUAUCUAUGUCAAGGUAAGUUGUUCCCACUCAUUAGACGUCAAAUACAUAGUUUUGUUUCGGGGAUUUGAGUAUGAAAAUUUGUUUAAACUUGGGGUUAAGGGAAAAUCUAUAAAAUGGUUAUUUUGGAUUUUGACCAUGAUCUUGGGUAUGAAAUUGAGAGUAACUUAUAUAUUUGAGUUCGUGAGGCUAUGGGUAAUCAUAAUCUUCGAAAAAUUUCGAAAUCCGGGUAAGUGGGCCUGAGAGCAAUUUUGUCAACUUUUCCAUCGAGGUUAGAAUUGUUGUAAAUUGGAUUGUAAUGAGUAAUUAAACAUAUAUUAAUUGAUUUGCACAUUAUGGGCUAGUUUUCAGCAUUUUGCAUUGAUUCAAGUCUUCGUAAGGGCGUGGAAUACCAGUUAUGGAUCAUCGGGGCGAGGUGAGUCUCCUUUCUAACCCGAUAAGAGGGAAUUAUCCGCAUAUGUGAAAUAAUUGGUUAUGUGAUCCUUUUUGUGGGGGCUACAUAUGCACGAGGUGAUGUGAGAUCAUGUCUAGCUACUAAUAUGUGUAAGUCUCGGUACUGUAGGACCUAAAAAUAUGCUAUACUUGGAAUAUCUGUAAUUUUCUUUACAGUUGAAUUGCUUAAAUCCAAUCAAAUUGGUAAAUGAAUUUCUAAAGGGAUUAAACUUCAUUUUCUUAUAUCGUUAAAAGAGAAUUGGUUUUCAUUUGGAUAAAUGUACCCCGAUAAAUUAUUAAUGGUUGUUUGAUAAUGCAUUUCUAUGUGUACCCGCGUCGCAUGUACGAUUCGAGAGCAGGGUGAUUGUUUACUUAAAUUUGAUCGCGUCGCACGUAUGUGUAAGGUCCACUGGAAACUACUAAUCAAAAUCUGAAAGCUCGUAGUGCCAACUUAGGAAUAUGUGUUAUAAAUUUGUAAAAUUUCUCGCCGCGGUUUUGACCCUUUGGAUUGAUCUAUGCAUUAAAAAGUCAAGGAAAAGCUUUUUCUAGAAUAGUGUGAUUCAAUCGAGAAUGCGGUUGCAUAACAGCAAUGCAAGCUGAAUAGUCGCUGCAGAGUGCAGCAGUGUGUUGGUCAAUUUGUGGUUAACUAUGCGAUCGCAUAAUCGAUAUGCGGGCCGCAUAAUCCGCUUGGGAUUUUGUAAAGGGCGGAUCGACGGUGCAUUAUGCGAUUCCAGAAUAGUUUGCAGACCGCAUUCUGUCGCAUACCCAAACAGUGUGUUUAGGUUUUGGGAGCAUUUUGCGGUCCAUUCUAUUGUACAAAUAGGAACCAAGUGCACGGACUUGGUCAGCCUAUCCGUACUCACCAAAUAGCAUCGAACUUCUUCAAAGUCCGAGGAAGUCAAACCACAAAAUCCAUAUUGAUUCUCUCCCACUUCUGCUCAGGAAUAACCAUAUGCCGGAGCAAGCCACCCGAUCUUUGAUGCUCAUAUUUCACCUGCAACAAUUGAGUCGCCGAGCUACAAACCCCACAAUGUAUUUCCUCAUUCUCCGCCACCAGUAAUACUACCUAAUAUCUUGAUACGUCUCCGCAGCUCCUGGAUGAAUAGAAUACCGCGAGCUUUGGGACUUCUCUAGAAUCAACUCGCAAAGCUCAUAUACAUUUAGCACACAAAUACGGCCCUAUAUCCUUAACACUCCAUGAAAAUCAUACUAAACUUUGUCCAUAAGGACAAGCAAAUGUGGAUCAUCAUAUUGGUGCUCUUUGAUAUGAUUAUAUAAAGAGGAUCGAGAUAUCACAAAAGCCAAUACCCGCUUGGGCUAAGAAAUAUCCAACCUCACGAACCGAUUUGCUAAGGCUUAAACAUCAACCGCAAGAAGUCUCUCCACAAUUAGAAUACAUGCCAAACUCCCCAUACUCAAUGCCUUUCUACUCAAAGCAUCGGCCACCACAUUGGCCUUUCCCAGAUUGUAAAAUAUAGUGAUAUCAUAAUCCUUAAGCGACUCCAGCCAUCUCUGCUGUCUCAAGUUGAUAUCCUUUUGCUUGAAUAAGUGCUGAAGACUCUGAUGAUCAAUGAAUACCUGACAAGACACACCAUACAAGUAAUGCCUCCAAAUCUUUAACGCAUAAACUAUGGCAGCCAACUCCAAUUCAUGAACGAGGUAGUUCUUCUCAUAGAGCUUCAACUAUCGAGAAGCAUAUGCAAUAACGCUACCCUCUUGCAUUAACAAACAACCAUUCCCUACUCUAGAAGCAUCACAAUACUUUGUGUAUGAACUAGAAGUUGAUGGAAAAACCAACACUGAGCUCUGGUCAAAGCUUUCUUGAGCUUCUGAAAGCUCUCCCCACACUCGUCCGACCAUACAAUUGAAGCACCCUUCUGAGUCAACUAGGUCAAGAGGGAUGUGAUAGACGAGAAUCCCUGAACAAUGCAAUGAUAAUAGCCUGCUAAACAAUGAAAACUACGAAUCUUAGUAGCUAAGGAUGGUCUAUACCAACUCUACACCACCUCUAUCUUCUUUGGAUCAACCUAAAUACCCUCGUUGGACACCAUGUGUCCCAAGAAUGCCACUGACUAGAACCAAAUAUGACAUUUGGAGAAAUUUUGCAUAAUGCUUCUUUCCAUUGUCCGCGAAUAUACCAGUAUAUCAUCAAUGAAAAUUAUAACAAAUAAGUCAAGAUAAGGCCGGAACAUGCUAUUAAUCAAAUGAAUGAACAUUGUUGGGGCAUUGGUCGGUCCAAAAGACAUAACCAUGAACUCAUAAUGACCAAAUCUGGUCUUGAAGGUUGUCUUGAGAAUAUCCGAAUCCUGAUCUUCAUUUGGUGGUAACCUGAAUGGAGAUCAAUCUUUGAGAAUACCCUCUCUCUCUGAAGCUGGUAGAAUAAAUCAUCAACGCGAGGCAAGGGUUACUUAUUCUUAAUUUUUACCUUGUUCAAAAUUGCCUAUAAUCAAUGCACGUUCUCAUUGUGACAUCUUUCUUCUUCAGAACAGAAACUGUGCAUCGCAAGGUGACACACUAGAAGGAUAAACCCCUUAUUUAGGAGUUCAUGAAGUUGUUCCUUUAAAUCGUUUAACCCCAAUGGUGCUAUACGAUACAACGAAAUAGAAAUAGGCUGAGUGUCCGGCACCAGGUCAAUACCAAAAUGAAUAUCCCUGCCCGGUGGCAUGCCUGAGAGGUCUGUAGGAAAUACACCAGGGAAAUCCCUCAUAAUUGGAACAUAAUCAAUAUUGGGAGCCUUAGCUCUAACAUCCCUCACAAAGUCCAGAUACGUGAGACAACCUUUCCCAACUAUACACUGGGAUUUCAAGAAAAAGAUCACUCUGCUAGGAACAUAACCAGUCACACCAUGCCACUUGAUCCGCAGCAAACCCGACAUAGCCAAAGUGACUGCCUUAGCAUGACAGUCUAGAAUAGCACAACAUGGAGAUAACAAAGACAUGCCCAAAAUGAAUCGAAAUGCACCAUACUCAGUAUUAAAAGAUCAACUCGGGUCUCUAAACCACUAAUAGUCACCACAUAUGACUGGCCCACCGGGUAGAUACAUGAACAUGUAAAUCAAGAAUCUUAAGAGAUGUACCCAAAUAAUGAGAAAAGUAUAAAUACACAUAAUAAAGGUGGAUGCGAGAUCAUAUAAUACAAAGGCAUCUCCGCGGUAGACUAAAAUAAUACCUAAAAUGACAGCAUCGAAGGCAAUAACAUCGGACGUUCCCGGGAUAUCAUAGAAAUGGGUCUAACCACCCUCUGAUCGACCUCCCCCUCUAGGGAGACCCCUAGCUAACUGACCUCCACCUUUAGCUGGCUGAGCGGGUGGUGGCGAAGCAAUUGACGCUGAAGCCAAAUGUUGACCCCUAUGUUGGGAUGAUCUAGAAGAACGAUGAGGACAUUGCCUCCACAUGUGGCCCAUCUUUCCGCACUCAUAACAACUCCCGGUGCUGGAGAAGGGGACCAAAGGGAAUCCCUCGCACCGAAGUGACUAGCGAAUUCACCUGGCGUCGAAGAACCCUUAACUGAUAGAGCACUGGAAGAACUCUAAGAUGGAACGACACGAAGUGAUGACUGGCCCUGUUGAGAUCCAUGAUAACCCUUAAUCGAAGAUGCCCCAUGAUAAGUUGGGCGAGCUGACUGAGUAGAACAGAAUGAAUAGCCUCUACCAUGCUGUAACGGGCCCCUCAAAGAAGCACCACCAUAACUGCCUGAAUCUCGAGACAUUUUAGCCUCUCUCUCCUUUCCCUCCUCUCAGCAAACCGACUCAAUCUCUCGAGCAAUAUCAACCACCUUCUCAAAUGAAGCACCAGAUAACCUCUCUCGGGUCAUAAGAAUAAGGAGUUAGUAAGUAAGACCAUCAACAAAUCUCUUGGGCACCUAGAUUCUACCAAACCUCUCAAGUCGACGAUUCUCAUCAUCCGAGAUAACCGGUAUUACAAACUCCUGAUCUGGUUUAACCGGCUGCACUAGAGGUGCCCUGGCAUCUAAAUUCCUUACUCAACCUGAUCAGGUGUGCGAUCAACGGGGUCUAAAUCCGUCCCCCGGUCAAUGAAGUAGCUACGACUGUAGCUGUUGAAACCUCCUGACGGAAACUAGUGCACAAUGAUAAGAUCUUAGCUAAAGCCUCAUGAAUGUCUAGAAUCACAAUAGACACAGCUGGUGCCUGAAAUAGUGCUGUUGGAGAAUCCAUAGCAGGAGCCUGAUCUUGACUUUGGGUAGCCGAUGGAUCUACAGAUGCUGCCUUUGCUGCUCUACUUCUACAUAACCACGAUCGCGUCCACGACCUUUUGUAGCCUCAACUGGUGGCAUUGGUGGUUGUCCAUCAUGUCCGGUAGAUCUUGUAUUGACCCUAACCAGGAACCUGGUCGUGAUCGUUCCUCUCAUUAAGACAAGACCAGCCGCUCUAACACAAUUCAACCUUUUAAGUAGUUAAUCAUAUAAAGAUUCUUUAAACAUGAUUUAAUAGCAAUAUUUAGCAAAACAAAUAGAAACCCAAUCUGACACAGCCCUAACUGGGGUCUCACAAGUCACGAGCAACUAAGGAUCUUGAUAUGAUUCUACUAACAACAAUUUCUAGUAGAACUUUUUGAAUAACAUAGAAAUAACAAGAUAAGGUAGACACGAGGGCUGUGGACGCCAACAGUUAUAUCGUAGUCAGCAAAACAUUGCCUCGACUGGAAGGAUCAACACUCAGAAGUUUGACUUGCACAUAUGGUGCAGGAAGUAAUGUGAGUACUCCAACCCAGUGAGUCAUAAAUAUAAAUAAUUGCUGAAAGUAAAACACAAGGCAUUCUAUACUGAUGCAGUAAAAUCACUUAAAAUUAGUAAAUUAGUGAAGAAACAAGUAAAACCCUUUUUCAGAAGAUAAAACAAGUAAUAAACAGGUAUAUAAUAAAUAAAAGUUCACCCCUCGGGCAUAGUAUCAACAAAACCGCCCCUCGGGAAACGUCUCAAAAUAGUACCACCCUCUUGGGCUCAAAUCUCAGAACAAUGUCAGCCCCUCGGUCUCAAUAUAACAUCACAAUAUGUACGUGCAUUUACUAGGGAUGUACAGACUGUGGAAGGGGCCCCUUACAGCCCGAGCGCUAUCUCAAGCCAGCUCAUGACAUUAAAUCUAGGUUCUCGGCCUCAUAUCAAUGAAGACAACUCGUGGUGUAUAUGUAACACAAGCCCUCGGCCUUAGUUUUAAAAUCAUCACAAGCCCCUCAGGCAUUUUGAAUAACAGUAUUUCUCAGCCCAAAAUAUCAUUUAAAAUACAAUUUAAGUCUUAAAACUUAGUAAAAAUGGAUGAGUAGUAAAACAGUGGAAAAUAACAUGAUUGAGUUCAAGUAAUAAGUCCAAAACAGUGAGGAAAUAGUGAUAAAAAAUCCCUAACGGGUUCAAAUAGUUGGCACGUAGCCCAAACAUGGCAAUCAGCCCAUAUCAUAAUAAUAAUAAUGAAUAAGCUCCUGCUAAAUACGCAAUAAAAUCAUCAAACGGGAUGGACCAAGUCACAAUCUCCAAGUAUGUGCGAUCCCACGCUCGCCAUCAAGCGUGUGUCUCACCUCAAUGUAGCACUACGAUAUGCAAUCUGGGGUUUCAAACUCACCUCGAACUGGAUAAAUCUCUAGCUCGCGAUGCCUUCGCCCCUCGAAACGGCUUCCAUGCAUGUCGAGUCUAACCAAAAUCAUAAACUAAUACAUCACAAUAUGUUGAUUGAAUAAAGCCCAUGCGAAAACAAUCAAAAAAUACAAAAAAUCCCAAAAUUUGCAAAACUCGAGCCCUGCAGCCACUUCUCAAAACACAAAAAAUUUCACAUCAUUAGAUUCCUAAUCACCCCACGAGCUCAUACAUAUAAACUUUUCUCAAAUCUGACCUCAAAUGGUUCUUGAAAUCCCAAUUCAAAAGUCCAAAUCCCAAGCCCUAGUUCUUCUAUUUUUGGCUUAAGUUCCAUAAUUUUCUCGGUAGAUUUCACAAUAGAAUCGAGUUUUAGGUCCGAAAUUCUUACCUCCAAACAUUUCUCCUUGAAUCCCUCUUUAAUCGCCUUCAAAACGCUCUCAACAUGAUCAACUAUGGAGGGAAUGAGCCCCAAAAAUUGCGAUACAAUAACUUAAAACAUUCUGCCUAGUCCUGUUUUUCGUUAAUCGCGAUCGCGGCGAUAACCUCAUUACCGCAAAAGCCAGAUCUUCAAGACCCUAAUUAUAAAAUACACGAACACAAAAAAUACCCUACUUACGUGGUUCUCCCGCCUCACACAUUCACAAACGCAAACUCACUUAUGUGAACACGAUGAACAAAAGACCCUGGGUCCCUCAGACAAAAUUACUAUAUGUGAUCGCAAGUGCUCUCAUGCUAAUGCGACGCACUGAACCCCAGCCUUCCUUGAUCGCGAAGCCUCUCAUGCGAACACGAAGGCUUAAAUCUGGACUUCCUCAAUUCCAUCUAUGCAAUCGUGAUACAUCCCACGGGAUCACGAAGGGAAAAUUUCUCUACAACAGUUGAACUCAGAAUAUGUAACUUUCAAACUCUAAAAAUGGUCUGAUUGACCACCUGAAACUCACACGAGGCCCCCGGUGACUAAAACAAAAGCACCAACAUAUCCUAGUAUGUUAUUCAAAACUGUUACAAUCUUCAAAACACCUCAAACUACAUCAAAUUCAUCAAUUCACAUCAAAUUCAAGCCUAAGUUUUUCUAAAAUUUUGCGAAAUACACUUUUGAUCAAAAACCCAACCAAACCAUGUCUGAAUGACCUGAAAUUUUGCAUACACAUCCCAAAUGGCAAAUGGAAGCUACUGUAAGUCUCGGGAUUCCAUUCUGACCCUUACAUCAAAAUCUCACCUAUUAACCGGAAAUUGCCAAAAUAUCAACUUCACCAAUUCAAGCGUAAUUUCACUCUGGACCUCCAAAACCAAUUCCAAUCAUACUCCUAAGCCAUAAAUAACCUUCCAAAGCUAAUUGAACCAUCAUAACUCACAUCCGAGCUUUUUAAGACAUAAGUGAAUAUCCGGUUGACUCUUUCAACUUAAACCUUCUUAAUAGAGACUACUUGACCAGUUAUGUUCUAUAACUGUCUUGGAAUUUUAUUCCAUCCUCCAACCUAUUACUUGGUAUUUUAAAUCCCUAUUCUUAGCCAGCUGAAAGCCAAGGAUACCUAGGUUAUUUUUUGGAAUCUCUAGUGUGAGCACUGCUAGGGGUACAUUUGAGGUCUUUGUAAACUUUGACACACUAAGAGUUUGACGUUAGUCAUUACCGUAACCCCCAAGCACUCCCUAUUUCUCUACUUCACUAUCAUGUGUUGUGUUUUUUUCUGGUUCUCCCAAGUGAUGAAAUACUUGGUGAUGUGGUUCAUCAGAAGGGGUCUGAACUCCCCUAUGGACCUGCGAUCCUGUGAUAUGCUAUAUUGAAGGCCCUAUAAGGCAUGAUAUUAAGUUGUUUUACUUGGGCUUGCUAUAGGCAUGUCCAUUACGAUGGAAUAUUACUAUUUUCACUUAUUCAUUUGGGUUGAUAAUAAUACCUUUGUAUAAACGAUAGGGGUGCUGCUAAAAGGGGAUGCGGUAAAUUAUAAUAUUUAACAUGUGAUGGUAGAUAACAUAAGUAUAGUAUUGAGUGAUGCACUUGAUUUUCUGUUACUCAUUCUCUAUGCACACUGUAGAAAGCAUGCCAUUAGGAAAAACACACUUGCAUUACUUGUUUAUUAGAAAAAAAUGAGCUCAAAUACCACAAUAUCUUUGUUGUUAUAUGUUAUUAGAGAACCUGCUCGUAGGAAAUAAAUAUCCCGAAAUUUGAAUUAUUGUAGUAUGUGCAUUAGAGAUCAUGACUAUAGGAAUCUACUCCUUUUAUCUUUCAUUGCAUCACAUUAUCCACCUAGAAACCUGCCUAUAAGUUUUAAUAACAAAAUCAGGUCACAAAUGUUAAUUGUUAGAAAUCCUGCAUAUAGGAUGCCAAUAUUAGCUUUGAUAACUCCUAAUGACACCUCUUUUAACAUUGUUCAUCAUUCACCUAGGCGGUUAUCAAAAGCAUUUGUAAUUCUGAGACUCUACUCUAGUUAUCAUAAAUCAACUAGGUGCAACUACCGCAUGACUAAUAAUUGGGAAGUUGCCAUCUCAAUAACCAGUGUGUAUCAAUCUAUGCAAUUGUGUCAAUGAAUAAUGUUUGUUCCUCAAACUGCUUGCAUUCCUUGAUGCCUAUCACGUAGAAAUCAUGCUUAUAGGAAAUUAAAUUCCUUAACCUUGAAUUGCCUAACCUGAAGAUCUGUUUGUGCGCAUUUGCUGUUUAAUUGUGGAGGUUAAUUUGAGCCUUUGACAAUAGUCAUACCUUAAGUCUAAUGUGUUUUUUUGUAUGUCGCCUAGUUUUGACAUUUUUUAGCAACCUAACUUAAGUCUAGAUCCACCAAAAGUAGAGGUUCAAUGCCUCAUGUACCAUAGGCACGUGAAGGGUAUCACACACAUAAGGUAUGAUUUAUAAUUGAACUAGUGCACUUUAGGUAACAACUUGAAGAUAGUAAUCAGCUAGUAGGAGAUGAUAGUUUUGCCGCUGAUUAAUAUGAGUAGCACCCACUCAUAGAGAGUUACAAAGUAUUAUUUAUGUUGCGGAAGGUGAUCCUUUGGGCUAAAAAAAUUUAGCACUCCCCCCCAUCUUAUUCCUACUUAUCUGUGUGACACGAAUUUGUAUCUAUUGAUCAUAAAACAUUCCUAAUUUCUCGCUUUCAUUCUCACUGUUAUCGAACUAAUUCAUAUACUUCAAGUUAGGCCAAGACCCACAAUUGUGGACCUAGAAGAGUGACUAACACUUCUUAUUCGAUGUAAUUUUGAGCCCUUACUCAAUCACCAGUGAUGCAAACUAGUCAAACCGAAGUUAUUUGCAAAGAAGCGCCCUAACGCACCAUAAAAAUAGUUAGGUGGUGACCCUUCUCUUUUAAUACUGUCAAGAUCAAAGUUUUCCCUCCACUGUCAUGACGGAACCUAGUCUCUAUGACUUGGUAAGUCUACCAAUUAGUGGAAAAGAAUUAGAAGGUACGAAACUAGCAAAUUACGAGUAAUAUAAUAAAGAUGGUUUUGAAGAUGCUUGGCAUAUACAAUAACUCUUUCUCAGACUUAACAAAAAUACUCCCUAAACCGAGUAUCUCUUGAAGCACAAGCUAAAGAAAAUACAUAGUGUUCUAACUCCAAAGGUCUAGACAAAAGGAAAAUACAAGAAGUCUAUUGCUAAAGGGAGAAUAGAGAGGGAUUUCUAGGUCUGCAGAUGCGAUAAAUAUAUCUCAAGGUCUCUGAAAUCACCUCGGCUCACUGACAGUAUGGUUGCGCAGAGAAACCUGGUUCUGCACACAAAAAAUGUGCGCAAGAGAGGACAUGAGUGCACCACAGCAGUACCCAGUAAGUGCUAAGCCUUACCUUGGUCGAGUAGUGAUGAGGAAGGUCAGGGCCCUAUUAUUUAUAUAAAUACAUAGUAAGUUAAAAUAGUAUAGAACAUGAUGGUUAAAACCGAUAAGGCAUGAAUUUCUACUCUAAACAUGCCAUACAGAAUUCAAGUAAGCAGAUAAAGUAGAUAAGGCUGUUAAGUCAUGUAAUCAUGUUUUUCUAAGCUAAACAGGAAACUUCAAGUUCAGGUAUUACUCAAUUAAAAUAGAACACAAAUAAUUACCUAAUAAAAUGGGGUUUAUCAACAUUUAGAAUGUGCAUUCACUCGUCACCUAACGUAAAUGACAUUCAUAUAACAACAGUAACAAAAUCAUAAGUUGUGUUCCCCAUACAAGGUUAGACAAGCCAUCUGUCACACCUCAUUUUUUACCACUCAAGGGCAGAUAUAAGGGAGUUUUGUCAAUUUGACUUUAUUUUAAAUCAGAUUAUUUAUUCAUUUUCAUAGUCGCUAUUUGGAAUAUUUUAAUUGGUGGCCCAAGUCACCAGUUUUUUUUCAAUCCCAAAUCGAGGAAAUUCAACUUUCCCUUUUGAAGUCUACGAACCAGAAAUUUUGAAUAAGGAACUCUGUUAACCCGGAAGAAGGUGUUAGGCAUUCCCGGAUUCUGUGGUUCUACCACGGUCGCUUAAACUAUUAUAAUUGACGUAUUAUCUGAUUUUAAUACAUGUUUUAAACCCAUGGUUCAUUUUUAGUUUAUUAACCACUUGAAAUUAUUUUAGGAAGAUUCAACGUUUUCUAACACACGCCUUGAACCACGCCACAUGAAAUGCACCCACGGUCCAUGAUAUAUCUUAUUUAAGGUUGUUGCGAAUUUGAGUUGGGUCUCAUGAAAUGCACACCCGAAUUUGGAUAAAUAAAGAAAAUUAAUUUAAAAUAGAAAACCUAAAGCAACUAUGAAAUUUCAAUUUUAGAAAAAGAUUUGCAAGGGCCAUAAAAAAUUCAAUUGAUGGCAUACCUCGAUAUAAAUAGAACGUAUCAAUUACCUGAGGGCUAUCGAUUAUCUAAUUUACUUAUGGCAUACCUCGAGUAUAAAAGGGAUUAAGCAUUCUUAGAGGAAAUCUAAACUAAUUAUCAAGCGCCCAAAGAAUCUACCGUUAUACAAAUAAUAUUAAUUUAGUAAUUCAUAUGAGAGCCAUGGGUGAUAUGGUGAAAAUGGCACACCUUAAUUUAACCAAAAGAAAUACUUCAACCUAAUAUUUUAAACAUAUUUACAUGACUACUGAAAUUGCGCAUAGGCCGUCAUGCGUUUGAGUAAAACCUGCCAGGGGCAAAAAUUUAGCAGCAGAUAUUAAAUGAGCUGCAGGGCUUGAGAAGCACGUUUAAGCUGCAUGUGGUAAAGCUGUUCUUAUUCACAAACGACCUUAAGUCCAGGCUCAAACUACAUCUCAUCCCCAUGACAAAGAAAUGAAAACUAAACAAUAUGGCAACACUCAAAACUUUAAAGAGACCAUUUGAACACACUGAUUAACUGUCAUGCCCCGAAUCUAGGGCUGGGAUCGGCAACUGGAGGCUUACCUAAACAUGCGUACCAACUUGAGAAUAAAGGACUCUUACCAUAUAAUGUCAUACAUUGGCCAUGGGCCACAUUGCAAGAAAAAUAUAAAACUGAUCGAAAACUAAUGCAAACUAGAAAUCAAUAUAAAGCUGGACUGAUAAGGUCAUCAUAACUACUACGGCUGACAAACCAACAAAUUAUACAUAUAAGGCCUACAAGCCGAACAUACUGGACUAACUGAUUUGGUAUGUCUACUAGCCUCUACUGAUGGUUGUACUGUGAUUAGAACAAGGCCCCGACCUACCCAUAACACACAUAUAUAUAUAUACACACAUAUAUAUAUAUACAUAUAUAUAUAUACAUACAUAUAUAUACAUAUAUAUAUAUAUACAUAUAUAUACAUAUAUAUAUACAUAUAUACAUAUAUAUACAUAUAUAUACAUAUACACAUAUAUACAUAUAUAUACAUAUACACAUAUAUACAUAUAUAUAUACACACAUAUAUACAUAUAUACACACACACACACACACACACACACACACACACACACACACACACACACACACACAUAUAUAUAUAUAUAUAUAUAUAUAUAUAUAUAUAUAUAUAGAUGUACUCAAAACUCUAGACCCGGCAAUUCUGAAGGAUGUGGAGCUUACCGAUCAGGCUAAAUAUGGGCCACACCUACUGAGGAGGUCUACCUCUGUCUGUUUAAACCUGCAUGCACGAAAGGCAGCGCCCCCAGAAAAGGGACGUUAGUACGAAAUAAUGUUCCGAGUAUGUAAGGCAAUAAAAUGAUCGAAAGCUGAAGCUGAACUGAUAACAUAAUAAGGUGAAGAUAAAUGGGAGUCAAAGAUGAUCUGGAGAUAUACUUACCUGCUGAAAGUGAGUCCACUCUCUCAAUAUAGUAAGGAAUACAAAUGUCCGUCCCUAUAAGGCUCGGAACGUGUAACUGCUCUACCAUAGUAGGCUCGCUCAUAGGCGCUCGACCAUACUAGGCUUUGUAUCUCAGCCAUUCUGGGCUCUCUCAUAGGUGCUCGACCAUAAUAGGCUCUGUAUAUAACUUACCAUCUGAUCAAAGAUUUCCCAAUAGGGGCCUGCCCAUCGAUUAUUUCUCAAUGAUGGUGAAAAUAUUAUAAUAUUGUAUAUAUAGAGACCCUCUACUCUCUUGACUAGAAGAAGAAAAUACCAAAAUGAAUAUAAAGCCCUGAUAGGGAAGAAUAGUGUAACUUAUGAGACGAGGAUAAUGUAUAUAAAUAUGAGGGCAUGAACUUCUCGUUAUGCCUCAUCAUAAACACAUGUAAUUACGAGAUCAUACAAAAAUGAAGAAAGGGCUUAGCAUUAACCUACCUUAUCACAAACCACCUGGAAAUGUUACGACAAACGACCAGCCCACCACCCUAACUCUAUAUGGUGUUUCUCCACAUCCUUCCUCCCCAAAAACUCCACAAAACAGUAGUAGAAAAUGCAGCCCUGCAGAAACACAAAAUAAUCCACAAAACUGUCUGUUACAAGUGAAUAACACGAACUCGCAGCUUUCGAUCACCGUCCCGUGAGUUCUUACAAGUAUAGAACGACUUACCAUGAAUUUACAGAAUAAAAAAUGGAUGAAAUAGAUCAGUAAAAAUAUCUUUGUUGGAUAACUCAACCUUUAUCUCUGUUCGUUAAACUCUAGGUUUUACCCCCAAUUAGAACUUGAAAGGGAGAGAUAUUCAAUUACGAUUUGUGGGUGAUUUUUGGUAGGAAGUUUGCACAUUUUUAGGUCUGUUUAUUUGUAACAUAUACUUAAGUUUUUAUUGCAAGAGAUAAACCCUACUUAUCACCUAGCAGCCUACGCAAUCUUGCAAAACUGCAUAUAUCUCUCUACUCUGAUGUCGCAUUGAUAAAUAGUUGAAUGAAUUAGAAAAUAUAGUCAUUGAGAAUAGUCUAUAAUUACAUAUUUUUAGUCGCUUAUUACACUUAAAUUUAGUGUAUUUUAAUGAAUUUGAGCUUUAAUCACUAGUUUUUUGCACUAGUGGUGUGUUUUAUGCCAUGUAGAAGUGAUUUCGCGCUAUGUAGAUGUUAUGAAAUGAAUUCAAGUGAUUUGGAGGUUUAACGUUUCAAUAAAAGUUCAAGGAAGUAAGCCAGAAUCGUCUUUGGGGGUCAAUGGAUGAUAGUUAGAGCGAACAAAGAAACCAGUAGGCAUAUUGCACACUAUCUAGUAAAAUAGAUAUACCUUUUUUCUCAGAACUCUAUUUGGGCUUCACAAUAGAUGGUUAGAAAUGUUACGUAAUGGGCUACAACUUUCAUGUUUUACGUUUUGCCAAAUUUUAAAAGGGACAGGGUGAAAAUGCGCUCCCAGGUGCGUGCCCAUGAUACUUUUAGCGCGCCCGCCACAGAAUGUUGUCCAACUAGCGCGCCUAGAUGCGCCAGGUAUGCGACCGCGCUAGUCCAACUUGGGAAAAGUGUCCUUUUUGCCUUAGAGAAGGUAUAAUUGUUUGGGCUUACCCCUACUUGGUAUAUAUACAUAGAAAAAUGGUAUUUUGAGGGAGGAGGACGUUUUUGAGAGGAAAACACAAGCACAGAGCCGCCGUGGAUUAUAGAGUUGGAAUCGAAAGUGGGAAUUAUAGAUUGCAUAUAGGAUUGAGUAGAUAAUUUUCUUGAAAUUGGACAUCGGGGAACGAAUUUGCGGUUAGGAUAGAGAUAUACCUAAUUGCCUUGCUUGGUUGAUUUACAUGAAGUAUAAAUGCGUUCUUGUUGAUUCCAUCUCGAUAGAUAUAUAGGGAUUAGGUUAGCUUGAAUAGGCAAGUAAGACGCCGAUAGAUUCUUAUAAGCAAUAUUAACCCUGACAACCAAUAAACUAGAUAGAUUAGUUAGUCAACUCAAUUGAAGAAUACAAUGGGAAUGUUUGAUAGCUUAUAACCCUAAAUAGUUUUCAUUACAUUGAUAUCAUAAAAAUCUGCUCUUUCUCAGCCCAAAGUUCAUUCUUUUUUUACUUUUUUUAAGUAGUUUAGAAUCAAAUACUUGUAGGCUUAAUUCUUGUAUAGAUAAUUAGGAUAGUCCAAUUUAGUUAAUAGUAAUCACAAAUCCUCGUGGGAUCGACAUCCGACAUUUAGUCACUUUAUUACUCGACGACCGCAUGUAUUUUUGUGUGCAUUUUUGUCGCAACAAGUAUUGGCGAAGUUGCCGGGAACAUAGAAAUUAACUAUUCUACUAGAUUAGAUUCUAAUUUUUGCCAAUUCAACUUUUUUAUUUUAUUAAAUCUUAGUUUAAUAUUUUAUUAUCUAUGUUGACAUGGCAUCUUGGAAUGAGAAUUGGUUGAAUAUUGGUAAUUCUUAUUAUGAUAAAUCCUUGUCCAUACUGUGGAGGAACUCACUGGUGAAAAAAUUAUCAGAAUGUUCCCGGGAGAAAGUUGUGCGCACAAUCUCAAUCCUUUGAGUGGAAUAUUUGUAAUAUAUGUGGUGGUCAAGAUUGCAAUUUUGUCCUAAUUAUAUAUAUCCUACUCAGAGUUCUUACUAUAAUAUUUCUAAUAAUGUCUAUGAGUUUGAUAGGAGCACGGAAGUGGAGGAUAUGGAAAUCAUGGCUCAUAUUAUGGACAUGAUGAGGCAAGUAGUCGAAUAACAAGAUGAAAUUCGAAAGGAUGCACAAAGAAUUAAUGCAGUAAUCAUGAGAACAAAGGCCGAGGAGGAGGAAGUGGUUGAACAGAGCGAGUUUCCAGCAAAAAAUAAUUUUGAAAAAGGAGAUAUAAUGAGCCAAUCUUGGCUAGAGGAACAAGCUCAACUUAUAAAAUCUCAUGAAUUUCUAUGGGAUGGUCUUUCAGAUAUGACAGAACAACUGAUAGAAGGAAGAACUGAGCUCAGGCAAGAGAUAGACCAAUUUGGCUUAGAUAUCUAUGACCUCCAUGAUCAAUAGAAUAAAACGGUUGAGGCCUCUUAUGUCCUAUAACCAAUUGUGUGGAUACUGGCAAGCUUGAGGAGUGGAAAGAGGAAUUCCAACUAUUCGACCAAAAUAUUAUUAAUGAUGCCAAGGUCGAAGAGCUCAAAAUUGAGGAUGUCAAAAAUAAUGCAUUUUUUUUUUGAGUUAGAGCGUAUUGGACGUCAUUCUAAAUACUUUUCAACAUUGCGUUUGGUUGGUGACAUGGAAAUUGACCUAUUGAGCAUAUGGAGGAUUCAAUAGAUGAGUAACGAAGUGUUUAUAUUCUGAAUUUUGCCACACCAAGGAGACAAAACGGCAUUCCUCACUUAAAGGCUAAGAAGUGCAAGAUGCGAUACCAAUUGCUUGGUUUCUUUAUUUUUACACCGCCGCCCCAGGAACGUAAUAUAAACGAUGAUGAAAACUUAGGUGCACAAUUUAUAUCCUCAAAGUGGAAGAAAAAGUAAUGAAAGUGUUGGCGUCGUGCCGCGACGUUAAAUCAAGCGCUUGUUGGGAGGACACCCAAUUUUUUUAUUGUGUUUAAUUUUCCUUUAUUAUGUUAUUUUUCGUAGUGUUGUUUUUGUGUUUUGUAGGAGUGGAAGCAUGGAGUCAGAACCAAUAGGCAUGUCUAAAAGCGAGAAGCUUGUUGAAACUAAUUGUGAGAUACCCGCACAAGGGAUCAUACCAGGGAGAAGUCUGAUUAUCCCGUGAGCUGCUAAUUCUUCGUCCUUUGCCUACCAGGGGGUUUCUUUUACCCUCUUGUUAUGUUCAGUGUGCAUUGAGGACAGCUUUCUUGAGGGAUUGUCUGGGGUGUGGAGAUUGUCUGGGGGAUUUUCUGUGCUAUCUUAGUUAUGUUGUAGUGGUUUUUUUUAAAAAAAUGAAAAAUUUGGACUUUUCUCGACGAUUGAUUUUGAGGACAGCUUUCCUGAGGGAUAGGUCCAAUAAAAAAAUUUAAAAGAGGGUAAAAAAUAGAAAAAAAUAUCCAAAAAUGCGUCUUUUAUUUUUUUAGACAGCAAUAAUCCCCCAUGGUUUUUCUUUGUGCAACUGUUCUUUUCCAUGGGAUGUAGUUUGAACCGCAUAUUAGUAUUUUUUUUUCUUUUAGAGUAGAUUAGAAUUUAGGGAAUAAAAUAAGGAAGAAUGAUAAACCUAGGUGUCAUUGACUUGUUUGAUAGUAGCAUAUUUAGGCUUUGGCAUGUGUAGUAUCUUCCCUAUGAUUUGAAAUUAUUGAUGAUUCCUUAUAUAUUGGAUAGCAUAUUGGAUAGCAUAUUUUGCGAUGCAUGUGUCUCAUUUUCUUGACUUAUAUUCACUUUGUACUUAAUGCUUAAUAUCUCGUGACUCCGUGAAUACUUGCACAUGUUUGAGAGUCGAAAUGAAACUGUUCUUAGUGAGUCAUGUGCCAUGUGUGGUGAGGUUUUUUUAUAGUCUAUGUACUGUACUUAUGUCUACAACUUCCCCGGUAUGUGAGUUGAAGUGAAAUUUUAGGUGAUGUUCGGUAUGAAAAAUGCUUUUAGGCUUUCUUUGAUCUUUUUUGAGCUUUAUUACUUAUCACAAAUAAAAUCUAUCCCUAAUCAACCCUUUUGAAUCUAUAUACUUUUAUUUGGCACCCACAUUACAAGCAUAUACCCUUUUAAUUCUUAAUUGAUAUUGUUUUGAUCGCUUUUCCUCUUAAAGCACUUUAAUUAUGAGUUGAACGCUAAAAGAAGUAAGAAGGAACUAAGUGAGGGGUGGGUUUUGAGUGGAACCAAUAAAAGGAAGAAAGGUGCACUUAUUUUGUAAAAUAUUACACCACUAGCGGAAAUUGAAAAGAAAAAGAAGAAUAAACAGGAAAAAAAAGGAUGAAUAUAUUGUUUUUCCGGCUAGUGGGUGUGAAUUAAUAUAGUGUAUUAAGAAUAAGGGAACAAUUUUGGGGUGAUAUUGUGUGUGAAAGUGAUAUUUAGACAAGAGGGGUUGCUCGGAUGGUAAGCAACCGCCACUUCCAACCGAGAGGUUGUGAGUUCGAGUCUCCCCAAGAGCAUGGUGGGGCGUUCUUGGAGGGAAGGAUGCCGGGGGUCUAUUUGGAAACAGCCUCUCUACCCAAGGGUAGGGGUAAGGUCUGCAUACAUACUACCCUCUCCAGACCCCACUAAGUGGGAUUAAACUGGGUUGUUGUUAUUGUGUGUGAAAGUGAAGUGCAUUGAAGAAUUUGCGUUUAAAGUUGAUUAUGUGGUAUGUUAAGGUGCUUAUGAGGGUUAGUCACUAAUCCUAAAUAUAUCCUACACGUCCCUUAGCCCACAUUACAACCAUAAAAUAAUCCUAAUUUAUUUUAGAUCGAGCGAGCCUACAUUAUAGAGAUUUACAUUAAGGGAAAGCCUAUGGUACCAAGUGCAUGCAUGUGACUUCUUUUGUGUGUGAGAGAGAGAGUUCUUUGAUAUAUAUAUAUAUAUAUAUAUAUAUAUAUGUGUGUGUGUGUGUGUGUGUGUGUGUGUGUGUGUGUGUGUGUGUGUGUUUGAUUUUGAGAUUUGAUUGUGUGGGUUCAACAUAUUCUUUUGUUCUUAUUGUGAGGGCACAUGACUUCAUGAGGGAUAGGUAAUGUUAUUAGACUUCUCUACGACUUUGGGUAUUCAAGCCAUAAGUGCAUCAUGACAUUGAGUCGGGUUUUGAGGCUAGGAUUGUUGUGAGCAUGUUGUCUUUGUUGUAAAUAAUUUCUAAGAAUAAUUUGAGUAAAAGGGAAUUGUUGCAUAUGUUUGUGUUUAAUUGUUGCUAUCAAUCAUGGUCAUUGGUGUAGUGUGCCCCAAAAGUGUUAAGAUGUUAAGUGCUCAAAGACAGAGUAAAGUAUUGGUUGACUCGAGGACGAGCAACGUUUGAGAACGGGGUAGUGAUGAUGGGCUAUAAUUACUUAUUUUAGUCGCUUAUAACACUUUAAUUUAUAGUACUUUAAUUGAGUUUGAGCUUUAAUCGCUAAUGUUUUACACUAAUGGUAUGUUUUAUGCCUUGUACGAGUGAUUCCGAGCUAUGUAGAUGUAAUGAAAUAAAUUCAAGUGAUUUGGAGCUUUAAAUUUUGAGUAAAAGUUCAAGGAAGUAAGCCAGGAUCGUGUUUGGGGGUCAACGGAUGAUAGUUAGAGCGAACGAAGAAUCCAGUGGGCAUAUUGUGCACUCUCUAGUAAAAUAGAUAUAACCUUUUACUCAGAACUCCAUUUGGGCUCAAAAAUAUAUGGUUGGAAAGCUAACGCAAAGGAAUACAACUUUCACGUUUUAUAUUUUUCCAAAUUCAAAAUGGAACAGGAUGAAAAAUUCCCGCCCAAAUGCACGCCCGCGCUACUUUUAGCGCGCCCAACACAGAACAUUGUCAAAUAAGCGCUCCCAGAUGUGCACCCAGGUGCAAGACCACGCUAGUCCAACCAGGGAAAAGUGUCCUUUUUCACCUUGUGAAGGAAUAAUUGUUUAGUCCCAACCUUACUUGGUAUAUAUACAUAGAAAAGUGGUAUUUAAUGGGAGGACGACGUUUUUGAGAGGAAAACACAAACACAGAGCCUUCGUGGAGGCCGGGUUUCAUCUUUUCUUCCUCAAAACUUAGCAAUUUUUAUGUUUGUUUGUAUGAUUUGUUGUUUUUAUUCCAUAUCUAAAUAGAGUUAAACUUGGCGUUAUAGGGUUGUGGUUGUUUCAUGACUAUUGUUAUUCGGAUAUUUAUUUUGAUUUCUUAGUUUACAAUAUUGGUUUAAUUAUUAGAUCUUGCACUUAUUAUUUGAUUGCUUGAUCACCAAUUGAAUACAUUCUACGAAUCUAGAGUUGGAAUCGAAAGUGGGAAUUAUAGGUUGCAUAUAGGAUUGAGUAGAUAAUUUUCUUGAACUUGGGCAUCGGGGAACGAAUUUGCAGUUAGGAUAGACAUAUACCUAAUUGCCUUGCUUGGUUGAUUUACAUGAAGUAUAAAUGCGUUCUUGUUGAUUCCAUCUCGAUAGAUAUAUAGGGAUUAGGUUAGCUUGAAUAGGCAAGUAAGACGCCGAUAGAUUCUUAUAAGCAAUAUUAACCCUGACAACCAACUCCAUAGAUAUAUAGGUGUUAGGUUAGCUUGAAUAGGCGAGUAAGAAGUCGAUAGAUUCUUAUGAGCAAUAUUAACCCUGACAACCAAUAAACUAGAUAAAUUAGUUAGUCAACUCAAUUGAAGAAUACAAUGGGAAUGUAUAGCUUAUAACCCUAAAUAGUUUUCAUUAUAUUGAUAUCAUAAAAAUCAGCUCUUUCUCAGCCCAAAGUUCAUUAUUUUUUUAUUUUUUUUAAUUAGUUUAGAAUCAAAUACUUCUAGGCUUAAUUCUUGUAUAGAUAAUUAGUAUAGUCUAAUUUAGUUAAUAGUAAUCAUAAAUCCUCGUGGGAUCGACGUCCGACUUUUAGUCACUUUAUUACUUGACGACUGCAUAUACUUGCGUGUGCAUUUUGGCCGCAACACUCAUAGAGCUUCAAUUUUAUGGGUUGAACACCCCAUAACUCUAAGUAUAUUUGGAGUAAAUUUCAGUCACAUUUGGCCCAAAGUUUCAGUAAAACUUAUGAAUGUAACUUGUGAUGACUUUCAUCAACUUUUGUUCCACAAGUUACUUGACUUCAAAAUAUAAUGCGCGACUAUCAUACGACUAACCUAAAUAUUAACAUAACCUCCUUAUAAUAUUAAUCACCUUAGUCUCACCCCAAAAGUACAUGUUAUAACACUCCUAUCUUGUCGACUUUCGAUGAAACUUUGUUCUCUUCCAUUCCUUUAGCUUCUGAACAUUCCAACCUUCUUUGUACUUGUUUUUCAUGAUCUUCAAUAUUUUUAACCUCGAAGUAACAUGAAUAAACUACUUUAUAUAUUUUCAAAUAUUCUCUCAUUUUUAGUCUUGCAUUAGUUUUCUUAUGACAGACUUUUACGUAUUCAGAUAUAGGGUGUAACAUCAUUCCCCCUUUGGAACAUUCGUCUUCGAAUGUUUACUCUUGGAGACUUGGGGAAUUUUUGCUAGAGUCUCCUCUAUACACUAGGCUAAAACCAACAAGCACGCAGCCAGGAAACAUACUAUACAGGCCACACAUGGCCAAUGUCAUUAAAUAACAAUACUUUGCCUCACACAACCUUAAAUCAUAAAUACUGAAAGUAAAAAAUAAGAGCUUGAUAACCGACUAGCAUGAAUAGAGUUGUGAGUUAGCAUCAUAUCUUGAGCCAUAUCUUCAGGUUGAAAUAGGUGGGGGUAUUCAGACUUCAUUUCUUCCUCCGCUUCCCAAGUCAUCUCUUCCACAUUCUCGCUUCUCCAUAAAACCUACACAUAGGCUACCUCCUUAUUUUGUAGCAUAUGGAUUUGUCGGUCUAGGAUGACAAUUGGAAUUUACUCCUAUGACAAGUCUUCUGUAAUCUGUACAUCAUCUGUGGGCACCACUCGGGUAGGAUCGCCAAUGCACUUCCGCAACAUAGAUAUAUGAAAAACUGGAUGGACAGACUCCAACUCUGAGGGCAACUCUAACUCAUAUGCUACUUGGCCCACACUCUGAAUAAUCCUAUAAGGCCCAAUAUACUGUGGGCUAAGCUUUCCUUUCUUUUGAAACCUCAUUACGCUCUUCAUAUGUGAUACUUUUAAGAACACCCAAUCAUUAACCCCGAAAUCUAAGUCUCAUCGCCACAUGUAAGAAUAUGACUUCUGAUUACUCUAAGCUGUCAGCAGUUGCUCCCGGAUACGCUUUAUCUUCUCUAUGGCCUGUUGAACCAGGUCUAGACCAUGUAACCCAAAUUCUCCAAAAUCAAACAACCCUAUAGGAGAUCUGCACUUACGCCCAUACAAAGCCUUAUACGGAGCCAUAUGGAUAUUGGAGUGGUAACUAUUAUUAUAUGCAAACUCAAUAAGAGGUAGAUGUUCAUCCCAACCUGUUUUAAAAUCUAACACACAUGCUCGUAAUAUAUCAUUGAGCGUCUGAAUUAUGCGCUCGGCUUGUCCAUUAGUCUGUAGAUGAAAAGUUGUGCUGAGAUUCACCUGAGUCCCUAGACCUCUCUGAAAUGACCUCUAAAAACGUGUUGUAAACUAGUCCCUACGAUCAGAUAUAAUAACUAACGGUACUCUAUAUAAAUUCACUAUCUCCUUAAUAUAUAGCUUUGCAUGUUCUGUUCCAUAUGUAUAUCUGAGCGGUGGGAAAUGAGAUGAUUUCGUGAGCCUAUCGAUUAUCGCCCAUAUAGAAUCAAACUUACGAUGAGAAUAUGGUAAACCUAUGACAAAGUCCAUGUUUAUCGCCUCCCAUUUCCACGUCGGUAUCUCCAUAGUCUGCAUUUGCCCUCCGGGUUUCUGGUUCUCUACCUUCACCUGCUAGCAACUAGGACAAUGGGCGAAAAACACAGCAAUGUUCUUCUCCUUAUCACUGCGCCAAUGCACAUACUAAAUGUCAUGAUACAUCUUUCUCGACCUAGGGUGAAUCGGGUACCACGAGUAAUAUGCCUAUGAUAUAAUCUAGUCUCGUAGCCCUUCUACAUAUAGAACACACAGACGACCCCUAUAUCAGAUAACCCCAUCUCCCUUGAGCUCUAAAAACAACUCUUUUUGUUGUAGAACUUGCUAUCUCAACUCAACUAAUUCUGGGUCCUCGUACUACCUUUUCUUGCUUUAACUAUGAGAGAUGAUUUUUGCAGUGUUUUGGAGUACAACUCCACCACUAUCAGAAUCCGCCAAAUGAACCCCCAAACAAGACAAUUGAUGAAUCUUUCUAAUUAAUUACCUUUUCUCAGCCACUACAUGUGCUAAGCUACCCAUAGAUCGAUGACUUAAGGCAUCUGCUACAAUAUUAGCUUUCCCUGGAUAGUAGAAAAUUUUAACAUCAUAAUCUCUCAAUAACUCAAGACAUCGCCUUUGUCGGAAAUUUAACUCUUUUUUUUCGAAGAUAAAUUAUUUAUGAUCUAUAAAUACAUCAACUUGAACAUCAUACAAAUAAUGUCGCCAUAUCUUAAGUGCAUGGAACACCACAGCUAACUCGAGGUCGUGGGUUAGAUAAUUCCUCUUGUGCUUCCUCAAAUUCCAUGAAGCAUACGCAAUUACCUUCCAUGUUGCAUCAGGACACAUCCUAACCCGACACCUAAGGAAUCAUAAUACACUGCAUAACCCUCUUGACCCUUUUGAAAUGUUAGAACUAGUGCUGAGGUCAACCAAUUCUUAAGCUCCUGCAAACUCUACUCUUAAGCUCCGUCCAUUGAAACUUAGUUUCUUUCUGCAUCAACUUCAUCAAUGGUGCUGAAAUGAAAGAAAAACCCUCUACAAACCUUCGAUAGUAUCCUGAUAAGCCUAGGAAACUACGCACCUCUGUUGGAGUAGUAGGUCUGCGCAAAGAUUUCACAGCCUCAAUCUUCUGAGUGUCUACUUUAAUACCUUCAUCGGAGAAAAUAUGCCCCAAGAAUUCCACAGACUUGACCAGAACACACAUUUGGAAAACUUAGCAAACAACUUACGAUCAUGGAGGUUUUGGAGUAUUUCUUGCAGGUUGUCUUAAUGCUCAUCAAUAAAUACAAUCAUAAAUAGAUCCAAAAAUGGCUAUAAUAUGCUAUUCAUUAAGUCCACAAAAAUGUCUAUUGCAUUCGUCAACCCGAAGGACAUGACAAGGAACUCGAAGUGCCCAUAUCGGGUCCUUAAGGCUAUCUUUGAAAUAUAUUUCUCCUGAACUCUAACCUGGCGGUACCCUAACCUCAUAUCUAUCUUUAAGAAGCAUCUAGCCCCUUGCAGCUGAUCAAACAAGUCAUCGAUCCAUGGAAGUAGAUAAUAGUUACCUUGUUCAGCUGCCUAUAAUCGAUACACAUCCUCAACGAUACAUCUUUCUUUCGUACAAAAAGUACUGGUGCACCCCAUUGUUAGGUAGUGGACAUGAUGAACCCUUUCUCCAGCAAAUCUUUUAACUGCUCCUUCAACUCCUUCAAUUCAGUAGGCGCCAUUCUAUACGGAGGGAUGGAUAUUUGUUGAGUUUCCAAAAGUAAUUCGAUGCUAAAAUCAAUCUCUCACUCUGGAGGAAUACCUGGAAGCUCAUCUGGAAACAUAUCUGCAUACUCUUUUACUACGGGAAUGGACUGAAGUGAAGGUAUCUCAGCAUCUACAUCUCUAACUUGCACCAUAUGAUAAAUGCACCAUUUUGCAAUUAUUUUCCUUUCCUUCAAAUAGGAAAUAAACCUACCUCUAGGUGUCACUGUAUUACCUACCUAUUCAAGGACUGGCUCACCCAGUAAAUGAAAUCUUGUUAUCCUUGCUCGACAAUCAGCUGUAGCGUAGCAAGCUGCUAACAUAGCCAUGGCCAUGAUAACAUCAAAAUCCAACAUCUCUAUCUCAAUUAGGUAAGCUGAGGUCUGACGAUUACAAAUUGUCACUGUACAACCUCGGUAAAUCCGUCUAGGAAUAAUCAAUUCUCUUACCGGUAUAAAUACCGCAAAAAGAUCAAUUAGCAUUUCAAGCACUAUACCAAACUUCCCCAUGACAAAUAGGAUAAUAUAUGAUAAAGUAGAUCCUAGUUCUAUCUAGGCAUAGGCAUUCUGAGAGAAAAUGGUCAAUAUGGCUGGCACAAUGUCUGGUAAAGACUCUAGGCGACCGACUAAAGCGUGGAUAUGGUUCUAAUUACCAGUUGAAUUGGAACCUCUACCUCUGCCUUGCCCUUGACAAUCCGAAGAUUGAGACUCGAGCCCCGAGGGAUGCACGGACAUAGAUGAUCAUGUUGCUAAACUCGCCGGUUGUGCCAUUACACCAAAAUCUCUAUUUGGGCAAUCUCGCAUAAUAUGCCCUGCAAGACCACAUGUAUAAUAAGCAUCAGAACCUUCUCGUCAUUGGCCCAAGUGUCCUCUACCACAGAUGUCACAUUGCAGAGGAAAUUACCAUGUCUACCCUAAACUUCACUGUCACUGCAAACCUGACGCCAUUGAGCUCUCACCUAGUCCUUACUGAGUAAUGCGGUCAUGGCUAUAACCCUGUAACUGAGGUGGUGGAGUCUUAGGUGGCCGUCCGAAGUACUGGGGCCUAUAACUACCCUCAGAUUGCUCCUGAGACCUACCAAAUCUUAUUCUCUUACGCUACCCUUGCUUAGUCCUCUUUGUACCCUGCUGCAAACGCCUACUUUUUUCUAUAUUCUGGAUUAAUGCCUGAAUCCAGAAGAUAUCCAUACAGUCCUGCAAUGCAGCAGUGGAACAUGCCUCAGUCAACCCUGGGGCUAAAUCUGCAAUAAAUCGAGGAAUCCUGUCCCGCAGAGUAGUAACUAUGGAUGGUGUAUAUCUGGCCAAUGAGUCAAAACGGAGACUAUACUCACGGACACUCAUAUUUCCCUGCUUGAGGGCUACAAACUGAUCGACUCAAUCUUUCCGGGUCUCUUGCGGUAUGUACUGGUCCAGUAAGGCAUCUAAAAAACUCUCCCAGUUACCUGGAGGUGCAUCUCGUUUCUUGGAUCUCUCUUAUCCCUCGACGCAAAGGACGGCUAUAUCUCGGAGUCGAAAAGUUGCUAGCUCAACUACUUCAUUCUCUGUGGCAUGCAUAACCCCAAACUUGUAAAGCUGAUCUAUGAAAUCCUGCGGUCCUCCCUCUGAUCUGUCCCCGUGAACUCUAGGCGACUCAAAGUAAUAACUCUUGGACCGUUGAACUCCCAGACCCUUUAGAAGAUCCUGCACUAGUUGAUGCCUUAGCUUACUUCUGGGUAGCUACCAACUGUGUCAACAAAUGCAAUGCACUCUUCAAGUCAUGAUCUAAUGGAAGUUCAAGGGGAACUAGAUGUGUGGUCUCCCUAUGAAUCUCCUCAUGUGGUGGAGGAGCCGGUAAUGGUUGAUUAGGGGUCUCACCAUAGGCCUCAGACUAGGCCCCAUCUACUGGGGGUACCCUACUGGUCCCCUCACUAGCUACCGUAUCUCUUCUCUGGUUAGUUGUAACCGUCCUAGUCUCCGUCAUAUGUGCAUGAAAAUACCAAUACAUAAGUAUAACUCAAAUUUCCUAUAACUCAGUUCUAUAGCACGAUUUAGAUUUAAAAGAAAGGUAACCAACUCCAAAAUAUCAUGUAGUCUCCUGCUUAUAAAAUGUGGUGCACAACACAUCUCUAAACAAGGCUCUACUAGACACGGCUUGUAGACUCCCUAGAACCAAACUCAUUUGAUACCAAGUUUAUCAUGCCCCGAACCUGGGGGCGAGACCAGCACCUGGUGCCUCACCUAACAUUACGUACCAACUUACGAUCAAAUGACUGUUACCAUAUAAUGUCAUACAUUGGCCAUGGGGCCACAUUGCAAGACAAAUUGUGAAGCAAAAUAUAAAAUUGCCAGAAACUAAUGCAGACUAGACAUCAAUAUAAAGCUGGGCCGAUAAGCCCGUCAUAACUACUACAACUGACAAACAACCAAAAUAUACAUAUAAGGGCGACAAGCCCAUCAUACUAGACUAACCGAUAUGAUAUGUUACAAGUCUCUACUGAUGGAUGUAGUGUGAUCGAACAGGGCUUCGACUUACCCAUAACAUAUAUACAUAUAUACAUAUAUAAAUAAGAUGUACACAAAACUCUAGACCUGGCAACUUCGAAGGACGUAGACCUUGUCGAUCAGGCUAAACUUGGGCCACACCUACUAAGGAGGUCUACCUGUAUGUCUGAACGUGCAUGAAUGAAAUGCAGCACCCCUAGAAAAGGGACGUCGGUGCUAAAUAAUGUACCGAGUUUGUAGGGCAAUAAAAUAAUCGAAGGCUAAAACUAAACUGAUAACAUAAUAACUAAAGGUGUCAACGAUGAUCUAGAGAUAUACUUACCUACUGAUACUAACUGAACUCUCUCAAUAUAGUAAGUAAGAUAAAUGUCCGGCCCUAUAUGACUUGGAACGUGUAACUACUCUGCCUUAGUAGGCUCGAUCAUACGCGCUCGUCCAUACUAGGCUCUGUAUCUCAGCCAUUCUAGGCUCGCUCAUAGGUGCUCGGCCACAGUAGGCUUGGUAUAUAACUUACAAUCUGAUCCGAGGUUUCCCAAUAUAGGCCUGCCUAUCUAUAUAGCUCGAUGGUGGUGAAAAUACUAUAAUAAUAUAUAUAAAUUUAGGGGUAUGAACUUCUCAUUAUGCCUCGUCAUCAAUAUAUGUAGUUACGAGAUCAUGCCAAAAUGAAGGAAGGGAUUAGCCUUAACCUAUAUUAUCACAAUCUUUCCAAUUACCAAGUUUAAAUCACCUCUUUGCACCUUGAUCUACAACAACAUUAGUAAUAACAUCGUUACAUUGCGAAAGGUACAACUAUUGCACAAUGAACAACAAGCUUAUUUUGUACGAAACGGGAAGCAUCUCCCCUAUAAUCUUUACGUCGUCCAAAUUCAACAUAACAACAAAAACACAAGAACACAACAACAAAAACCUAUAAAUAUUAAUUUCCAGCCUUAUAUACACAAUAGAAUACCACCAAUAGCCCACAUACCGCAAUCUCUUCAUUCACAAAAAGACCACAGUAGUAGUGUCAAACGACCACGAAAUGUUACGGAAAAUGACCAGCCCCCACCCUAAAUCUAUAUGGUGCUUAUCCACACCCUUCAUCCUUCAAAAAUCCACAAAAUAGUAGUAAAAAAUGCAGCCCAACAGCAACACAAAACAUCCCACAAAAUAGUCUGUCACAAAUGAAUAACUCGAACUCACGGCUUCCAAUCACCGUCCCAUGAGUUCUUACAUGUAUAGAUUACUUACCAUGAAUUUACAGCAGAAAAAUAGAUGAAAUAAAGAAGUAAACGUACCUUGUUUUUUGGAUAACUCAACCCUUAUCUCUGUUCUUCAAACUCUAGCUUUUGCCCUAAAUUAGAACUUGAAAGGGAGAGAAAUUUAAUUAGGGUUUGUGGGUGAUUUUUUGGAACGUUUGCAUUGGCUUAGGUCUAUUUAUUUGUGAUAUAUACUGAAGUUUAUAUUUCAAGAGAUAUGCCCUUAAAUGAGCUCUUUGGCUGACCCCAAAUUUCCUCUUUUUGGGCUCUCAUUUAACCAAGUAGGUGACACACCUACUUGUCACCUAGCAGCCUGCGCAGUCAUCAAAAACGCAUAUACCUCUCUACUCCGAUGUCGUAUUGAUAAACAGUUUAAUGUGUUAGAAAAUGGGCUCAAAUAGUUUCAAUAUAAUGGGUGGAACAAACCAUAACUCUAAGUAUAUAAGGAGAAAAUUGCAGUCACAUUUGACCUAAAGUUUUAAUAAAACUUAUGAAUGUAACUAGUGAUGACUUUCAUCGACUUUUGUUCCACAACUCGCUAGAUUUCAAAACAUAACGCAUGAAUAUCAUGCAGCUAACCUAAUUAAUAACAUAACCUCCUAUCAUAUUAAGCACCCUAGUCUUGCCCCAACAAUACAUAUUAUUACACUCCCAUCUUACCGACUUUUGACGAAACAUUAUUUUCUUCCAUUUCUUUAGCUUUUGAACCUUCCAACCCUCUUUGUACUUGUUGUUCAUGAUCUUUUAUAUUUUUAACAUCGUAGGUAACAUGAUUAACUUAUUUUUAUAUAUUUUCAAAUAUUCUCUCAUUAUUAAUCAUGCAUUAGUUUGCAUAUGACAGACUUUUACGUAUGCAAAUAUAUAGGGUGUAACAUCAACAACGGUGCACAAUAAUUAUAUUGUGAAUAAUAGACUUUAAAUGCUACAAAACCAAAUCACAUGUCUAAAAUAAAUUCUGUAUUUUGAACUCAAUUGAGCUGAUGAUAUGAAGGUAGCAUUCUUAUUUGAUGCAAUCCCCAAAACUAACUUAUAAGCAAAUACAAUGAACUUUAUGCCUUAACAAAACUUCUUUCAUACAAGCAAUGAGCAAAAUCUUAUGAAAUAAGCAUGCCAACUAUGUUAAAUCCAGGAAUCACCAUUCUUUAGCAGAAUAACACAAUGGACCAAAUAUAACUAUCUUAUAUCACAUCCAUAACAUAAGAAAAACUAAUAGAAUCCCCAUAAAAUUAAAUAACUAUAAAACAUGAGUGAAAUGGAGAAACGGGGGAAAAAGGAUUCAGUAGCACGAAUUGUUUUCAACAUGUGUGCAUAUUAACAAUGCACAUUACGCUUCACAGGUUAAACAUGGUUCGAGAAAUUACCUGGAAUGCAAUAGAAAAAACAAAGAGAAACGGGGAGUUAGGAGCAACAUCAGAAUAAAAUCUGCAAACCAACAACAAACAAGCUCUUAAACUAGAAACAACCAAGCUUUAAACCAAUUUUAGACCUAUAAAUGAACCAGAAAUUCUUUGUAGAUUUUAGAUACUAUAACAAAACAAGACAUUGAACAAUAUAUUCACUAGUAAUUGAAAGGAUUUUAGCAUUUGAAAACUUAACCGUUUUUUUCUAAAAAAUUUAGUGUUUUCCCGUUCUCUAAUAUUUGACUUGAUUAGGAAGUGACAUCCUUUUAUAGAGAAGCUUUAUGGCAGCAGAAAAUGAACUUCAUAUUUUGCCUAUUAAUCCACUUUUAAUUAUCACUUUUGCUAGUUAGUUCUCAAAUUCAAAUUUUGUUUGUCAAAACAGUCCCAAACCCACAUUCCAAGAAAUUUCCUAAUUUAGUUACACCAGAUUCUCUAAACAAAAAUCCCUAGACUACCCUUAAAACCUGUGUUAUUUACCAUCAAGACUUGGAUAUGGGUCAAGUUUACCCAAUACCCAUCCCCAAUCUGAUUUGGAAACCUGGCCCGAUUUCCCUCCUUGGGCCUCUAUUGACAGAGCCCAAAUCAAAUCGAGAACCCAACAAAAUGAUUCAAGAAUAAGGGAAACUCGGAGUUAAAUAACCUCUUGGAACAAAAUAUUCCAAAUAAAACAAAAAAUAUGAGGGAAAUUUGAGAGAAAACUAAAACAGAAGAACAAAAUAUACCGGCAAGAAUUAACAGACAUGCAGAAAAGAUUUAAAUUAAAAGGGAAAGAAAAGGAGAAUAAUCAGAAGAAGAUCAAAAAUUACGAAUAAGAACGAAAAGAAAAUGAAAGAAGGAAAAUACUGAAAUACCCAAGCAAAGGCAGACAGAGGCUUUAACGAUUCUUGGAACCCUCGAUGUUGAGCCGAAAUUGGCCUAAAUUGUAUGUUCCUAUUGAGAACAUACGAAUAAAGCUAGUUUCGACUCUUAAUAUACUCGUAAUAACUUGAAAAAACUCGAAUGAUUUUUGACGUCUGGUUUUAUUUUUCAGAUCUAAGAUGGGUUCUGUUUGGUGAGGAUUCGAAAAUUUAUGGUGAUGGAUCGGGGAAGGAGAGGUUGUGAAGGUCUUGGGGUGCGAAUUUGGUGGUGGUUUGAGGUGGCGCCACCACCGGAGAGGGUAAGGAAUUUGGGGAGACGGAUUAGGGUUAGAGGUCAUCUGUAUGAGUCGAUAGGAAUGAAGAGAGAUAGAAUUUGAAGGAGGGGUGUGGCUUCGAUCGGACAGUUAUGGGAAAUUAGAGAUCAAUUCAUGGCCGUCUGAUCAAACAAAAUCAACGACUCCAACAAAAAGAGUUGCAAAGGGGGCC
This 33029-nucleotide long non-coding RNA is filed under the name Nicotiana benthamiana. Its description in RNAcentral is "long non-coding RNA (NBEN_LNC013354)". The record is from RNAcentral. Lineage: Eukaryota; Viridiplantae; Streptophyta; Magnoliopsida; Solanales; Solanaceae.